AGAGUUUGAUCAUGGCUCAGAACGAACGCUGGCGGCAUGCUUAACACAUGCAAGUCGAACGCUCCGCAAGGAGAGUGGCGCACGGGUGAGUAACGCGUGGGAACCUGCCUCUUGGUUUGGAAUAACUGCGGGAAACUGCAGCUAAUACCGGAUACGUCGGGUUGAUGUGGUGUUGGCCCGGGAAAGAUUUAUCGCCGAGA
This 200-nucleotide ribosomal RNA is filed under the name uncultured bacterium. Its description in RNAcentral is "partial 16S ribosomal RNA". It matches the Rfam family "Bacterial small subunit ribosomal RNA", at positions 8 to 223 of the family's 1533-position model. The record is from RNAcentral.